Long non-coding RNA from Pan troglodytes (chimpanzee), 9078 nucleotides. RefSeq lists it as uncharacterized. Lineage: Eukaryota; Metazoa; Chordata; Mammalia; Primates; Hominidae. The transcript is spliced from 6 exons. The record is from RefSeq and is a predicted model, not a curated record.
GAGCAGGCGGCGCCGAUUCCGCUCCGCGCGGCGCUGGCCGCUUCGCUGCACCCGGGGCUUCGGCGGGGCUGCGGGAGCCGCGCUGGCCGGGCCGCGGCGCCGCCUGUCCUCACCUGCCCGCCCGCCUCACCGCGGAUGGCGCCGGCGACAGGGGCUGCGGGGUGCGCGCGGGCUGCUCGGAGGCGCUGUGGCGGGCGAGGGCGCGGGUGGCUGGAGCACCCGGCCCGCGGCAAGGACCGGCUGGCGGCAGGCGGGGCGCGCGGAGCCCGGGGCUCGGCCGAGACGGAGCGAAAGAGAAACGCAGCUCGGAACUGGCCCUUUAAGAAAACAUUCCGUGUUCGGCGCUCCCGCCCGGGGCCCGCACCCCGGACACUUUAAAAGGACCCAGGUGGCCCCGGAGGCGAGGUGACUAUCCCCCCACCCUGCCCCUGCGUCGCGGCGCGUCGCGCUGCUGCUCCCGCCCCAGCCGGGGCCGAAGAUGGGGCGGCGGCUGCGGUUUUCCACACGACUUCCUUGGAUCUCGGGGCACACGCGCCGAUAGUUCGGACGCGAGUCCGGGCUGGUUUUGCUCCGUUUUACUGCGUUUGAUUACUAAUUUAAAAGCUUUGCGUUCCCCGUCGCCCCGGCCCGCUUUUCUCCUGCAUUCUCCCCUCGGCCCCCGUCCCCGCCCUGCGAUCGCUGGAGGGGGCGUCGGGGCUCGCGCGCCAGAACCCGGCUCCUCCGAAGCCCCCUCCGGGCCCCACCGCCCCCCUCGGGCCUCCCGGCCCCCGCCUCCUCCCCUUCGCCCCCACCCAACGGCUGCUGCUUCGGGCUUCGCGGCUCAAAAACAACAGCGGAGGCGCCGCCAGCUCCGCGCUCCGCCACUGCCCAGGCCGGCGGGCGGCACUCGGACCCGCCGCCCUCGGUCCCUCGCGAGGCCACGGAGGCCAACACGCCUCGCACGGGGGGACAGCGCGGGGGCAGCCGUCCAAACACCAGGCGUCCUCGGCUGGUCGUCCCAGGGCGCCCGCACCUCUCCGCCCGCGCUCUCCUGCCGCCGCGCCCCCAAGUCCCCAAACUCCGAGGCGCUGCGGUGGAGGGGCCGGGCUGAGCGCAGGCAGGGUGGCCCGGGCCCAGGAGCCUGACGGCCUGAGUGCGGAUUUCUCAUCUGAGUAUCUGGGAAUCGAGAAUGAAUUGGAAGAAAACCGAGGCGCUGCCCUGGCCAGGUUGCUGCCCCGCACCCUUCCGGAGCACCGAAGUCCUGCCCGGCAACGGGACUUGGAGCUGCCGCAGAGUCAGCCUGAGCCCGAGGCAGGGGUCGCGCCCGCGAUGCGGGGUCUCUGCGCCGCCCCGCGAGGCUCCUGGCCGUGCCCUCCCUGCCCUUUGUUGUGUAAUGAGACCUGUGGCGGCUCCACUGAGACCCACACGUGCAACUCCGCGCCUCCGCGUUAAAGGAGGUGAAACGCAGCAGCCCUGAGAAACCCCGAGACCCCGGUGUCCUAGCAGAGGCGCCCCGGAUGGGGAGGGGCGCGGGGCCGGCGCCACCCCAGAGGAAAAGCCCAGCGGAGCCGGGUUGGGCAGGAGCUGGCGGCGGCGGUGCGCUGGGCCUUCUGCCUUGGAUCCUCCGCGGUCGGCACCGCUUCCCUGCUCAGAUUCGAACCCAGAUUCGGCUCCCAAGGCUCCCACGACUCCAGGGUGCCCAGUCUUGCAGCCAGCUCGCCGCCCGAGCCCCGGAUGGAGGAAGCGCUCACUGGCCGCUACCUCCGCUGUUUCUGGCACCAGGCUUUCCUGGGAGAUUGGAAAUGCCCCAGGUGGGAUCCAGACCGCCAGCGCUCACCCCACCCCCAAUACGUGGGCCACUGAGUCAGGCCAGGAUGAGGCUCUUGCUCCCUGGGCAUGUUCUCCUGCCCCACACUUGGUGAGAAUGUCUCCCAGACUUGAGCAGCAGGAGCCAGGAGACCACAGGGGCCCUUGGGGAUGGCUGACUUGGCUCCCACUAGACAGAGGGGAACAUGGAGGCGGGCUGCUUGGACCCUAUACCUCGAAGGGGACUCGAUGGGGGCUGAAUGCUGGAAGGAGCCUGCGUUUGGUCUAGAAUGGUGGGGGUGGGUGGGAGACACAAGUCAUGGAAAAGGCCAUUUCUUCCCUAUUGAGACCUCUGAAAUGACCCGAAGUGGGUGCUUCCUCCAGCAUCAUGCCUCAGCCGCACACUGGGGCUACAGGAAUCCCCCCAGACCCUGGGGUCAAUAUUUCGGGGCCCCUUUGAACCUUCUUCUCACCCGAGGCCUAGGAAACCUUCCUGUGCCCCAGAAUACUUGGAGAGGACAGGACACAGGUCCCAGUUGUGGCCCAGUGGCGGCAAGGUUCCGUUCCCUGCACUGCUCAAAGAUGGGCAGCUUCCGGGGACCGGCUUGCACGAUGCCGUGGCCACCCCAGUGGAGACCCUCUGCCCGGCUUUGUGUCCUGGCGUCUCCACCAGGGUGCCCAGCUCUCCUGCGCAGAUGUCGGGAGUAUCUGAAUGCCCCAUGGGCACUUCGAGGGCCCAAUCCGGAGUUUUUUGUUUUGUUUUGUUUUAAGAGAUUGAGACUGUGAACCUGAACUCCCUUGAUCUCCUCCCGUUGGGCCCAGGAGGGAGCCGAAUCCAGGCCCAACCGGGCUCACUGAGAAGCUGCAGGAAGCCCCCAACGACUCCUACUCCUGUGCGGCCCAUACUGGGCCAGGACGCUGCAGUGGCCGAGCCGCUGGGUGUCUGCAACGGGGAGCGCCCCCGCCGCUGGGGGCAAUAAACGGAAUCGGUUUCACACGCUUUCCCUCUUGAUCUAAGAACCUUUAAAAAUCCGCCAACGAAUGCUGUUGCCUGGAUGCGCUGCGUAUGACCUUCAGCCGUGUGUUCACGCGCGCCCGCAGCCGUGGAGUGACGGUCCCUCCUGCCGCCCGCAACCCCGGGGCCUCCGGUCUGCGCACACCGGGAGCAACUUCGUUACCCACAGCGCCCGCGUCCUGCGGCUCGCGCGGAACUGCGCGCGGGAAGGUGGCAGAGCGACGCUCCAGAACGCUGCUUGCGUAGACGCUGCCGCUGCCUUCAGAUCCCAAUUCGGCCGCGCGCGGGCGGGGCCCUGGCAGCAACGAAAAUGGCGAGCCUCGUAGCCUUCCGGGCCCGGCGGCCGCAUUCCGGGAGUCGCCAGGAGGCGCUGCAAGGCUCCGUGCUCCUGGAGCUUCGAGUCUAUGGUAUGAGUUAAACAGAAGGGUAUCUCCUCCAUCAGAUCUACAGGAGGGUGUCUCCUCCAUCAGACCUGGAGCUUCCAAGGCAUUUUACCCGAAGCUCCAGCACCUGGCCCAAGGCUGGGCUGUGCUGUGUCCUCAGUGAAAGAAUGGAUGAGUCACAACUGAAUGACUGAAGAGCUGAACCAGUAGGUUUCCCUGGGGUUUCCACAGGCAGUUUCAGCCCAGGGGAAGACCCAGGGAGAUGAGGGUCACCUUGCAGGACGCUGUGGUGUGGAGGCAGCAGCCUGGGGCAGGGACUGUGCUGAGUGCCUGAGGCCGAGCCACCCCUCUGUAACCUCCAUAAUCCAUCAGGUCUCAGAGGGCCGUCCUAUGUUCAGUAAGCCAAUGCUAGCACCAUGUGACGAGGACACAGCAGUGAGCAGCUGCCCAGGCCCCUUGCACUGUGUUUAGAAAAGGAAGCUGGCUUGUUCAGGGGUCCCCAGCAGGAUGGGGGGCGGGGGCAGGGACCAUGGCAGAGCGAGAGUUCUAGGAGAGAAGCUGGUCCACCCACAGGCUCCCUGGCCUGGGUGCUGUACCAGGCAGGGUGCUGGGCGUUGUGCUGCUCACUUCCCACCCCUCGGUUGCACCUGGGGGCUGUGUGGCCUUCCCAGUCCUGUUGUGGGUGCUGUGAUUGUGCCCACCUUACAGAUGGGAAAACUGAUGCUCAGAGGCUUGAGCAACCUAGGCCAGGACCUGUCCUUAGAGGCAGAAGCAGGACUCAGAGGAAGAGCACCCUGACCACAAAGCCCCAGGUGACUUACACUGCAGGGAUGGCACUCUCCGGGGUGUGCAGGGUGGCAGAGGUGCCUCUGCAGAGAGAUCCCUGCCUGGGACCCUUUCCUGGGGCUCUUCUGGUGCUGGGAGUGUGAGCACCACGAAAGCCCCACUACAGUCAUGCCACCCAGAGGGCGCUCUGGCCUCUUGGUCACCCGUGUCCUUCUGACAAUGACCAACACACUUUUUUGCCAGGGUCCAGAAAGACUCAGCCACUGGAGUCUGUAUUUCCUGAGUCCGCCUCUCACUGGUAAGUCCUGAGCCCCGUUCCUUCCCAGCACCCACUCUUGGAGCAGCUAUCCAGGGCUGUGCUGUGGCUGCUGCGGUCAGGGAGAGGUCGCAUGCUCCAGCCAGGGUCUUUGGGGGCUCAGUUUAGAACUAAUACGCCAAGCAAGUCGUGCUGAGUGUCUGGGCUUCUUCUAGGAAGGUAUUUCCAAUCAUCAAAUGUGCCAUUAAAAAAAAAUGCAUGUCAGUUAAGUGUGCACUAAGCCUGGACCACAUGGGACAUAGUGGUUCCAAUAAACACGAAUAAGCCAGUUUUCACAUUAGAGAAAUACCAGUUUCUUGCAGAAAUGCGGUGCUUUUAAAAGAGGUUAAUUAAUAAACAGCAGGUAAUUGUUCAUGGCACAUUGUGGCGGAGGGUAAUUUUCAUUUUAGAGGAUGGAAGGGCCAAAUACCCCUCCCCACUCAGCAUUUUUCUGUAAUAAUCACCUCAGCUUCACCUCCGCCUUUCAUUUUUACAGCUGGAGCUGUUUAUCAUCGCUCCAACUUUCACUAAAAAGGAAAAACUAUCACUUAAACAAAGCCAUUGAAACCCCAGCAUCAUAUGUGGAUUUUUUAACAUAAAUAAAUCAUACAAACUAAGAUUUAUGUUCUUGGAAUGAUGUCAUUCAUUGAAGGCUGCCUUCCCAAUCAAAGCCGUGUUUAGUGAUUUUUCUUUAGUGGGUGUGCUUUUUGCUAAAUAGGAAAAACCCGUUCGGUCAUCCUUGCUGCUGUCUUUUCUCGGUUUGGCCCAGAACAUCAGAAAGGUUUCUCCCUGGGCCAGUCCACAGAGCCAAAUGGUGAAAAUGGUUUUAACUCCACAGACUGCUUUUAAAGCCUUUGCUUUGGAACCAUUAAGUCUGAGAUUAAAAGACUGUUAAACCUUCCCUAAGACUGUGUGCAGGCCUCAGCAGAAGUUUAUGGUCCUCCCAGGUCUCCCAGAGCCUAGAAUGAAUCUCGCUGCAGAGUAACGCAUCUGCAGAAGCUUCACCAAAUUGAAAUGAGUGAGGAGCAUUAAAAUCAGCACACGUGGAUAAAUAAGGUGUGGCAUAUCCACGCAAUGGAAUACUAUGUCGCCAUGAAAAGGAAUGAAGAGCUGACACUUGCUACAACAUGAAUGAACCUGGAAAACAUGAUGCUCCAUGAAAGAAGUCAGUCAUAAAAGGUCACACUUUGUGUGAUUCCAUUUAUAUGAGAUGUCCAGGAUGGGCCAAUCCAUAGAGACUGAAGACAUAUUAGUGGUUGCCUGGCUGUAGAAGUAGAGGCAGUAGUACUCUGGGCCAAUGAAGGCACUGGGAACAGAUGGGCCACACCAGAGUCCAGCUUCAGCCCUCCAGGCAUUGAAAGGAGACCAUUAGCUGGAAGCCAGUGGGAAGUCGGGCUGACUAAUAGGGGCAGGUGUCCAGGAGGCUGCAGUGUGAGGCUUUCAUUUGUUCAAGCAACACACAUUCACUGCACUCUUACCGUGUGCCAGGGACAGCCAUAGGCCCUGAGACUACAGCAGUGAUGGAGACAGACGCUGCUCCCAUCAAGGUCAUGUUUUGAUGGGGAAAGCAGCAAUAAGCCAAAUACAUAUGGGUCUGGGGUGCCAGGCUAGACGAUUCUAGUGCAAUGGACAUGAAAGAGGAGAGAGGUGAAGGCACAGUCUUCAACUGGUUGUUCAAGAAAGGCCUCACUGAAGUGGUGACAUUUGGGCAGAGACGUGAGGGAGGGAUGAGGGAGCCACCCAAGUGUCUGGGAGAACAGCACUGGGGCAGAUGGAACAGUCAGUGCAAAGGCCCUGAGGCUCCAGUGACCAGUGUGGCUGCUGCAGAAGGACGGGGAGGGGAGGAGGGGAAAACCGUGUAGAGUGGCAGUGGGAGGACAAAUUAAGGCUGCAGGUGGAAUUAAAGUUGCUCUUUCAGCGAUUUUAAAGUAGGGAGACGAUUCCGGAUUAUCUGGGUGGCCUUAAUGUCAUCAUGAGGAUCUUUAAAAGUGGAAGAGGGAGGCAGGAGAGUCAGGAUUAGGAUGAAGUGGAGAUAUGUGAGAAUAUGAGGAAGAUUCCCCUGGCUGUGCUGGCUCUGAAGACAGAGGAAGGGCCCACGAACCAAGUUACGUGAAUACGGACAGACUCUAGAAGCUAAAAACGGCAAGGAAAUGGAUUCUAGAGCCUCCCCAAGGAAGGCAGCCCUAUGCAUGCCUUGACUUUAGGACACUGAGAUCCAUUUCGGACUUCUGACCCACAAAACCAAAAUCUAGUAAGUGUGUGCUAUUUGAAGCUGCUAAGUUUGUAGUAAUUUGUUACAGCAGCCACCAGAAAUUAAUAUGGGGAGGAAAUAGGGAUUUCAUCUGUCCAUAGUAAAGACAUGCCGGGGGUGAUAAGAAUCUGAGCCCAUCUCACCUAGAUGAGAAUGACAGAGUAAUGACCACAGAAUAGUGGUGAUGGCCAUCCUCACAUCUGGCUCCUUAGCCACCCAUGCCAAUAUGGACUGACUGCCUUCUACGUCUUGUCCAUGGCCAUUCUGUAGGGAAAUUCCCUUGCAUCUCCUGCUACCUUUACAGACUACAUAUUUUGUUGGAUUACUUUCUCAUUUUCAUGAAGCAUAUCUUCUAGUAACUUCUGAUAAAAGAUGCAUAGGAGAUAACUAUUUUAGGACUUCCACAGUACCAGAAUGAUGGAUGGGCUGGGUAUAGAAUUCUAGAUUGGAGAUGAUUUUUUUGUUCAGAAUUUUAGAGAAUAUUGCCCCAUUGUCUUCUUGCUACCAGGCAGCUAUUGAGAAGUCUAGGAAGAUUCUGUUUCCUCGGACUUUGUGUGCAGUGUGAUUUUUCCUUUUUGGAAUUUUAUAGAAUCUUCUUUGUCCCAAGUGGUCCCAUAUUCCACAAUGAUGUGCCCUAGAAUGUGUCUGUUUUUAUCCACUGUGAGUUCUUUCAAACUGAAAACUUGUGUCCAUUAGCUCUGGGAAAUUUUCUUGAAAUACUUUGUUAGUGAUUUCUACUCUCUGUUUUGUUUCUUCUUCAUUUUUGAAACUUGAUAUUUAUAUGAGCUUUCUUCUGCACAUAUAAUCUGUGUGUCCUCCAAAUGGCUUUGCUCUGUUUGUUUCAAUCUGUCUUUCCUGAGGCAUCUGCUGAUUCUUGGCUUUCUGCCCAUGAUGAGGAGCUGACUGGAAGUUCUGACAGUAAGAGAGGAGGGGUUCAUUGCCCUUGAGACCCAUGAAUGGGAGUGAUCCUUGAUCCUUGGAUGUCAGUAUCUUUAGGAACUGACCUGAUUCCCAGAGAAGUUACCCAGGGAGCAAGGGAGGGGUCUCGCUGCCAGUCUUCUUGGAGUCAACUUGGAGUUGAAGGCAAGGGUCUUUGCAGUCAGCUGCCUGAAUUCUGGGAAAUAAACCUCUGGACUUUUGCUGGUGUCGGGGAGGGGUGGUCGCUCAGGGAGGAUAAGGAGGGGAUAGGAAUCCCCCUUUACUAAGCCUUCCUGAUCGUAGCCACUCUUGCACCCCAAGUCCUAGAGGUACCCUUUUUUUUUUUUUGACGGAGUUUCACUCUUAUUGCCCAGGCUGGAGUGCAAUGGUGCGAUCUUGACUCACUGCAGCCUCUGCCUCCUGGGUUCAAAAAUUCUCCUGCCUCAGCCUCUGGAGUAGAUGCAAUUACGGGUGCCCACCACCACGCCUGGCUAAUUUUUUUUGUAUUUUUAGUAGAGACAGGGUUUCACCAUGUUGGUCAGGCUGGUCUUGAACUCCUGACCUCAGGUGAUCUGCCCACCUUGGCCUCCCAAAAUGCUGGGAUUAUAGGCGUGAGCCACCACGCCUGGCCCCUAGAGGUAAUCUUAUACUCAGUCUUGAGUGUUAGGAUUCCCCUUGGUUAUAAAUCUGGUAAAAUCUCACCUUCCUGCUCUCUAUUCAGGAUUUUCUCUUGUCUCUGAUCCAAUUGCCACAGGUCCAUCAGCAAUUCAGCUUUCAGAAGGGAGGCCCACCCUUAUGGGUAGAUGCCUUUUGAAAUCUCUUUAUUGUGGUUGAAGUGGGGCUUACAGAGGGGACGCUAUUGAAUGGGUGUGUGUUUAGUUUGCCAUCUUAACCCGAGGCUUUUGUGGCUAUUUUAGAAAGACUGUGUCCAUUCUUAGGUCUAGGCCCGAUACCACACACAGUGUCCACACACAGGGGCUCUGACCCCACAGGGUUCUUUGGGUCCUGAUCAAUGAUCUUUCUAGAGCCUCCCCCUUGACCUGCUUCUGGCCACAGAAACAGCUGAUAAAUGAAAUUUGUUAGUUUCCUACAAUGGAGCGUUGCAUCGGCAGUGAACAUAGUGACAAGAGUGCAUGCUUAUCACCAUGCUGACAUGCCCCUGAGACAUGGGGGCGACCUUUAAGAAUGUCAGCUGAAAUAUUAACAGCGGUUUUCCCUGGGUGAUUAGAUCUGAUAAUAUUAAAACUUUUUUCUCUGUUAUGUUUCUCUGCAUUUAAUUUUUCUCCACUGACUGUAUAUUAGUGGUGGAAGUGUUACAAUGUUUAAAAAUAAGAACAUCAAAAAAUUAGCCCAGGGUGGUGGUGGCAUGUUCCUGUGGUCCCAGCUACUCAGGAGGCUGAGGCAGGAGGAUCUCCUGAGCAGAGGAGGUAGAGGUUGCAGUGAGCCAAGAUCUCACCACUGCACCCCAGCCUGGGUGACAGAGUGAGAUCCUGUCUCAAAAAAUAAAAAUAAAAAUGAGAAGAAAAUCCUAUCUGCCCUUCAAUAACCAGCUCAGCCACUGCUACCUCCCGGGAGUCUCCCGUAUUCCCACUGUUGGGAAUGCUUCCUGCACCACAUUAAAUAAACUGCAUUUUCUAAAUAUCAA